GGCAUAUGAUACGAUAUAGACUGGGGUAUAUCGUAUCGAAAGCACCAACUGUUGUAUCGUUGAUCGUUUGAAUCAUGUUAAUCUAUAAAGGGAAAAAGAUUUAGAUUUUCCUGUUCCAGUAUCUCCAACUGGACAUCCUUUCUCUGCAGAGCUCUCUUCAUUUCAAUCUCAUACAUAAACUAAAAGGAACAAAGUUGUUCCUUUACUAUAAAGCCAGCCAUCACACAAGACAAUCACAAAGCCAAAAUAAAUGGGAUGACGAUAGUACAUCAUGUCAUGUUGUACCAGCCCACUGGAUUACCUUUUAUUACGGUGUUAUCGAAUGAUACAAGUUGUUUCACCAAGUUCACGAACCAGUACAUUCUAUGUAGGACUCGUACCAAUCGAUUUCCCCAUCAUUUAUCGAUUUGGUAGUUGUUUCCAUCCUCUCCACAGAUUGUUCUGCACGUGAAGCAAAUCGAGGAUUUCUGAUGGAUUUUGGACAUUCAUUGGACCACGAAACUUCCAGUAGUCCUAGGGAAAGUCUAUUGAAUGAAUUUCUGUAAAAAAAAAAAACAACCAAAGAAGGUUACGAGGCUUAAUUAACAAUUGAGGUUGGAAAAUUUUUCAUACAUUAGAAUUAAUGACUUGGAAUCCCAGGAGCUGGAACCAGAAAACAAGGUAUUCAUAUUUAUAAAGUUAAAACACUCCUGUAAUUUCAUUGCAAAUCCUAGAGCAAAAGUCUGUUCAGUUGAUUUUUAUAAUUGUU
Long non-coding RNA from Daphnia carinata, 748 nucleotides. RefSeq lists it as uncharacterized. The record is from RefSeq and is a predicted model, not a curated record. The transcript is spliced from 3 exons. Lineage: Eukaryota; Metazoa; Arthropoda; Branchiopoda; Diplostraca; Daphniidae.